This 460-nucleotide ribosomal RNA is filed under the name uncultured bacterium. RNAcentral's name for it is "partial 16S ribosomal RNA". It matches the Rfam family "Bacterial small subunit ribosomal RNA", at positions 338 to 795 of the family's 1533-position model. The record is from RNAcentral.
CCUACGGGGCGCAGCAGUGAGGAAUAUUGGUCAAUGGACGAGAGUCUGAACCAGCCAAGCAGCGUGAAGGAUGACUGCCCUAUGGGUUGUAAACUUCUUUUAUAUGGGACUAAAAUGUUCCAAGUGUGGGAUUUUGUAUGUACCAUAUUAAUAAGGAUCGGCUAACUCCGUGCCAGCAGCCGCGGUAAUACGGAGGAGCCGAGCGUUAUCCGGAUUUAUUGGGUUUAAAGUGAGCGUAGGUGGAUUGUUAAGUCAGUUGUGAAAGUUUGCGGCUCAACCGUAAAAUUGCAGUUGAAACUGGCAGUCUAGAGUACAGUAGAGGUGGGCGGAAUUCGUGGUGUAGCGGUGAAAUGCUUAGAUAUCACGAAGAACUCCGAUUGCGAAGGCAGUUCACUGGACUGCAACUGACACUGAGGCUCGAAAGUGUGGGUAUCAAACAGGAUUAGAUACCCCGGUAGUC